GGAGGGUUCGCCUAGUGGCCGAUGGCGCUGGUCUUGAAAACCGGUAAGGGAGCAAUCUCUUCGUGGGUUCGAAUCCCACACCCUCCGCCG
This 90-nucleotide transfer RNA is filed under the name Plantactinospora sp. KBS50. Its description in RNAcentral is "tRNA-Ser". It matches the Rfam family "tRNA". From Rfam's summary of the family: Transfer RNA (tRNA) molecules are approximately 80 nucleotides in length. Their secondary structure includes four short double-helical elements and three loops (D, anti-codon, and T loops). The record is from RNAcentral. Lineage: Bacteria; Bacillati; Actinomycetota; Actinomycetes; Micromonosporales; Micromonosporaceae.